Molecule: long non-coding RNA, 424 nt
Organism: Cucumis sativus (cucumber)
Lineage: Eukaryota; Viridiplantae; Streptophyta; Magnoliopsida; Cucurbitales; Cucurbitaceae
Exons: 2
Source: RefSeq, a predicted model, not a curated record
AGCUAGUGCAACAAUCUUGAUGACAUCAAUAUUAGAUCAAAGUUCUCUCUCUAUAUAUUUUUCUUUCUAUGUUUUGAUCUGAAUUUUGAAGUAUGUAGUAUGUGUUGGCUGAGGAUUCUAGAACUAACAGAUUUCUUUUUCUUUUUCUAGGUGCUGUUUAUGGUAUGAGGCCAUUAGAUUUAAGGUGUUAGGACUAUUGAAAAUUAGAUAUAUUGGAUAAAAAACAACACUUGGAAGUACUGCCAUAUUUGGCCUUUUCUUAGGGGCUGGGAGUUUGAUACAUUGUGGAAAGUCAUAUUAAAUCACAAGGUCCUGUAUUACAAGUUAUGUUUAUGUGAUUAUUACCUUAAUCUUACUUUUAGCCAGCAAACAAGAACAUUUAUUGAAGUCGUGGAUCAUUGAUGCACAACUAGGUUCGACAUUA